CCUACGGGUGGCAGCAGUGGGGAAUAUUGCACAAUGGGGGGAACCCUGAUGCAGCGACGCCGCGUGCGUGAAGAAGUAUUUCGGUAUGUAAAGCUCUAUUUGUAGGGAAGAAAAUGACGGUACCUGUCUAAGAAUCCCCGGCUAACUACGUGCCAGCAGCGGCGGGAAUACGUAGGGGGCCGGCGUUAUCCGGAUUUACUGGGUGUAAAGGGAGCGCAGUCGGCUGUGCAAGUCUGGAGUGAAAGGCGGGGGCCCAACCCCCGGACUGCUCGGGAAACUGUAAAGCUGGAGUGCAGGAGAGGUAAGCGGAAUGCCUAGUGUAGCGGUGAAAUGCGUAGAUAUUAGGAAGAACACCAGUGGCGAAGGCAGCUUACUGGACUGCAACUGACGUUGAGGCUCGAAAGCGUGGGGAGCAAACAGGAUUAGAUACCCGUGUAGUC
Molecule: ribosomal RNA, 440 nt
Filed under: uncultured bacterium
Lineage: Bacteria
Description: partial 16S ribosomal RNA
Rfam family: Bacterial small subunit ribosomal RNA
Source: RNAcentral